Molecule: long non-coding RNA, 2256 nt
Organism: Cygnus olor (mute swan)
Lineage: Eukaryota; Metazoa; Chordata; Aves; Anseriformes; Anatidae
Exons: 2
Source: RefSeq, a predicted model, not a curated record
GGCCCGUAUCGUGACAGGAGGCAGGAGCCGGUGGUGUUCUCCCGAGGCCCCGUGACACACGGGCCUGGUGCCGGACCCCCGGCGUCGAUCCAGGCCCCGGUGCCCGUUACGUAAGGGAGGGCAGUGCUCCCUGCCCGGCCGUGCUGCGGGGAGGUUGGCGCUGCCUUUUCCCGUGAGGGAGGCUUCGUCUUCUGAGGGCAGGGUGAAGCCUCUGGAGGGAACGAAGAGGGCUAGAGGUUGUCAGCCCGUUGCUGCUCGGUUUCCUUAAAAAUACCUGAAUGUGCUUCUUUCCAUGAAGCCUGAAAACAAAAAUAUAUGCAAUAGACCUAAACUUCACAAGCUCUACGUGCUUUCCUGUGGAGCCAGACCUGAUAUACCCUGGAGAGGACAUGGAUACUGGGAUAUUAAUUGGGAUAAUAAUGAGCCUUUGCAAUUUGAUGCUUCAUAGAUCGGGUCCAGAUCCUGUGGCUUGCUUGCAGGCGUGCUGAGUUCUGCAGCUGUGAAGAGGCAGUUUUAUGAAUCUGGCUUCUGACUGCAACUUUCUAGCUUAAAAAAAAAAGGGUUGGAACCACGUUUGUGGCACCCUGCCCCGUGGGACUUCAGUCCUGGCUGAGUUUGCACGGGAGGCUUGCCAUAGGUGUUAACAGAUCGGCACAGCUGGCUGAGAUUAGAUCUUGACAGAGCGUUGUGUGGUUUGUGGAUGCAGGUACGGCCCUCCGAGGAGUGAUUUAUAGACAGGGGCUGCUCCCACACCCAAGCACCGUGCAGUGACAGCUACAGGUACUCGGGGUAACUCGCAGUACCUCACGUGCUCACGGCAAAGCGAGUCAGAAGGAAGGGAAGCCUCGCUUUCUGGAGUUGCACCACAGGCUUGCAUCAUCUCAGUAAAUCUCUGUAGGAAGAGGCACGCAUGGAACGGUGGUGAGGGGACUGGGAUGUCCUGGGGCCGGGGGACAGCUGCGGCAGCACGCUGUCCUGGUCGGGGUCUGCUGAGACCUGCAGGGCUGUGCCCCGCGGGGGCACAACUGAGGAGCGCUCCCUUCUGUGGUGAGGAGUAAGGUGGCGGUGCCUCUCUCCUGCCAAAAACUGCCCACUGGGCAGAGUUGGAGACUUCAUAACGCGUGGCUUUGCUUUCCUUCUCCUCGGCCUGCUGGAAUGGAAAUUGGUGCACACCUUGUUCCUCCCCCCCCCCCCCCGGGAUCUCUGGUGCUUCUCCCUCUGUAUAAAGUGGUACAAGGAUUGUUCUUUUCAGUACUCUGCGGGUGCCCUGGGUGUGUUAAGUCUAAGCGUUGGAAUUUCUUAGCUGCUCAUUGUGGUACAAUCAUAUUUAAUUAUUCUGCAAAGAAGCCUUUGUGAAUUCAUAAAACGCAUUUGCUGGAAACCUAACCGGAAGAAACCCAACCAGGAGCAAAACAAACUGGGUUUUGUCGUCUUUCUGAAGGUUAUUUUUCCCUGAGUGUAGCAUUGUUUCCAGAUAAAGGACCUCUUCUUCCUUCGCUGCCCAAAUCUAAGUGGAAGCCAUGCUGCUGGAGCCCACUCUGUGUGUGCUGUGUGUCCUUCAGCAGCGCCGCCAGGAACGGCAGAGCAGCCCCCGGAGUCGGGGUUCUGCGGGUGUCACUUUGCAGCCAGGAGCUUCUUUAGGGUCUGCCCAGGUUUCCGAACGUCGCCUGACUUGUGCAAGUGUAGAUACACCGUCACCCUGGGAUCCAGCGAGUCCCGACUCUUCUGCUACAUAUUUAAAUAGCAGCACAGGUGUCACAAAAAACAUAGGUUAAUGCAGAAAUUGGGUAUAAUUACUGCUUCUGACUCACCCACCGGUUUACCUUUCUUCAAGCAGUCGGUUCCAGACAGUGAAAGCAGCGGUGGGAGAGAGGAUGCGUUUCUGAGGGAUCCCUCAGAACGGGCUGUGUCACGCUGAAAACGCGUCCCCUGCUCCCAGAACAUCCCCUUGCACGGCAGCGCUGACCUCUCCCUCCCCAGCUUUUCCAGACACAGGCACUUUGUUGCUCUGAAGCUGUGUUGCUUCAGUCACCAGAAGUCAUUUUCUGGGCUAUUCUCCUCGUUGCUAUGACAGCUGCAGGCACCACCAGCAACGCUUUAGUGCUCAGGGUCUGUUCAACAACGUGUGUCACCUCCACGCUUGUUAACUCACUGUUGAUGGGAGGGAGCCACAUCACCAAAAAAUGAUGUAGAAGUAGCCCAAAAGGGCUUGAAUUGUAAUACCCAGGGACUAACACAAAUAAAGAAGUGUUUUUG